Molecule: transfer RNA, 65 nt
Filed under: Spongiobothrium variabile
Lineage: Eukaryota; Metazoa; Platyhelminthes; Cestoda; Rhinebothriidea; Rhinebothriidae
Also listed under: 1 other name
Description: tRNA-Asn
Source: RNAcentral
GUCUACAUAGAUUAAGAUAAAUCAUGAUGCUGUUAACCUCAAAAUGGGAUACGUCCCUGUAGUCG